This 472-nucleotide ribosomal RNA is filed under the name uncultured bacterium. Its description in RNAcentral is "partial 16S ribosomal RNA". The stretch from base 20 to 302 matches the Rfam family "Bacterial small subunit ribosomal RNA", at positions 47 to 358 of the family's 1533-position model. The record is from RNAcentral.
AACGAACGCUGGCGGCAUGCCUAACACAUGCAAGUCGAACGAGACCUUCGGGUCUAGUGGCGCACAGGUGCGUAACGCGUGGGAACCUGCCCUUAGGUUCGGAAUAACUCCCCGAAAGGGGUGCUAAUACCGGAUAAUGUCUUCGGACCAAAGAUUUAUCGCCUUUGGAUGGGCCCGCGUUGGAUUAGCUAGUUGGUAGGGUAAAAGCCUACCAAGGCGACGAUCCAUAGCUGGUCUGAGAGGAUGAUCAGCCACACUGGGACUGAGACACGGCCCAGACUGGAGGGGGAGCGAGGGGUGAGGAAGAGUGGCGGGUGGGGGACAGACGGCAGCAGUGAGGGGGGGGUGGGGAGGAAGGAGUGAGGGUUGAAGAGUUUUGUGGGGGGGGAUGAGCAAGGCAGUGCAGGGAAAAUAGGCCCCGGAUACCGCCGAACAAGCAGCGCGGGAAUGAAGGAAGAGCACCCGGAUGACC